RNAcentral lists this unclassified non-coding RNA (603 nucleotides) under Hevea brasiliensis (rubber tree). The record is from RNAcentral. Lineage: Eukaryota; Viridiplantae; Streptophyta; Magnoliopsida; Malpighiales; Euphorbiaceae.
UGCUGCUGCGGAACCCUCGACUGAAAACUAGGAUUCGCGUUCAUAACUCCGCCUCUACCGGCGCCUAUCCCCGGCGGAUACCGCCCUCUAUUAUUAUUAUUCAUCAUCAACAACCGUAAAUCUAACUAACUAGCCGAUUCAAACCCAAAAUUUGUGCAAAAACUACCAAAAGAAAACCAACAAAAGAACUAUAACCGUCAAUAGUUACCAAACCAAUGGGACUAAAAGCUAUAGCGUUUGGUGAAGAAUGAAAUCGCAAGUUGCCAAAAUUAAAGUCUAGCAAAGGAAAAUUUAUACAAGCAAGAGAAGAAUGAAAUCUAGGGUUUCUCGACAACUCGUGAAUACAAAGAAGGCAGGAGCACCGGAGGAAGAUGGUGAAUACAAAUAUAGGGUUUAGUUGUUUUGGGAGGAAAGAGAGGAUGGAGAUCGUAAACUAGGAGCAAAAUCAGGGUGUAAAAUUCAGCGGAUCUUAAAUGAAAAGAGAAAUGGAUCAAUUUUGGGUGGUCCGGAGAGGUAAAUGGAAGAUUUUUGAUAGUAUUACGAAGCUACAAGAAGACGAGAGAAAGGUCAUGCGCUGAUUCAUGGCAUUUGGGUUGGACGUGC